RNAcentral lists this ribosomal RNA (500 nucleotides) under uncultured bacterium. RNAcentral's name for it is "bacterial SSU rRNA". It matches the Rfam family "Bacterial small subunit ribosomal RNA", at positions 28 to 524 of the family's 1533-position model. The record is from RNAcentral.
GAUGAACGCUAGCGGCAGGCUUAAUACAUGCAAGUCGAGGGGCAGCACGGUUAGCAAUAACUGGUGGCGACCGGCGCACGGGUGCGUAACACGUAUACAAUCUACCUUAAACAGGGGGAUAGCCUUUCGAAAGAGAGAUUAAUACCCGUAAUAAAUUGAACGGCAUCGUUUGAUUUUGAAAGCUCCGGCGGUUUGAGAUGAGUAUGCGUCUGAUUAGCUAGUUGGUGAGGUAACGGCUCACCAAGGCGACGAUCAGUAGGGGAUCUGAGAGGACUAACCCCCACACUGGUACUGAGACACGGACCAGACUCCUACGGGAGGCAGCAGUAAGGAAUAUUGGUCAAUGGAGGCAACUCUGAACCAGCCAUGCCGCGUGCAGGAUGACGGCCCUAUGGGUUGUAAACUGCUUUUAUACAAGAGAAAACCCUGGUACGUGUACCAGGUUGAUAGUAUUGUAAGAAUAAGCAUCGGCUAAACUUCGUGCCAGCAGCCGCGGUAAU